RNAcentral lists this ribosomal RNA (509 nucleotides) under uncultured bacterium. RNAcentral's name for it is "bacterial SSU rRNA". It matches the Rfam family "Bacterial small subunit ribosomal RNA", at positions 29 to 509 of the family's 1533-position model. The record is from RNAcentral.
AAUGAACGCUGGCGGCGUGCUUAACACAUGCAAGUCGCACGAGAACGUUUCAGCUUGCUGAAACUAGUAAAGUGGCGCACGGGUGAGUAACGCGUGGGUAAUCUACCUCCGAAUUGGGGAUAACAUUGCGAAAGCGAUGCUAAUACCGAAUGACAUCUCAAUAACUCCGGUCUUUGAGAUCAAAGGUGGCCUCUCCAUGGAAGCUACUGUUUGGAGAUGAGCCCGCGUACCAUUAGCUUGUUGGUAGGGUAAUGGCCUACCAAGGCUACGAUGGUUAGCUGGUCUGAGAGGAUGAUCAGCCACACUGGAACUGACACACGGUCCAGACUCCUACGGGAGGCAGCAGUGAGGAAUUUUGCGCAAUGGGGGAAACCCUGACGCAGCAACGCCGCGUGAGUGAUGAAGGCUCUCGGGUCGUAAAGCUCUGUCAAGUGAGAAGAACCUGCCCUUUGCUAAUAUCACUGGGCACUGACGGUAUCACUGAAGGAAGCACCGGCUAACUCCGUGCC